GUGUAAUGCUGAAUGCCAAAGCUGGUAGUAAUUAAAUUUGUAUGUUUUACAGCUGAAGUUUCACUUAGAUAAUUUCUUAUUAAUCUUCAUAUUCCUAUGGGCCUUUUACUCUCUUUGCAGCUGGAAAAUCAAAGCUUGGAGAGACUGGUGAUUUGUAGUAUCUAAGAGGCAAAGCAAGACUUAAGAAUAACUCUGGUUCCAGGGAGUCUGGAUAACAUCUUGCAACAAAGGGGUCUGGUUCUCGUGUCCUGCAUCUCUCUGGCCAUAAAGAAGAAAAAUAUCUGUGUCAGCUGACAAGGUCUGGCACCUGCCCAGCAAUCUGAAGACCACCAGCAGGAAAGAAAAAUGUGCCUUUUGGCACGUAGCCCUGAACUGGACUCUUGGACUUCCCCUAUAAAACCCCUGACCCACUUCUUGACGGGGAGCCAGCAGUUCCUAAGGUGCUAGCCUGCUGCUGCUCCCUUUGCCUGGAUUGCUUUCCUUUUCACCCAAAACUCUGUUCUCAUUAUUUGAAUUGGCACUGAGUUCAGAGACUGAACUUUAGGUAACAACGCUUUGACUUCUUGGGGCCUUGUUGACACUGGAGAGACUGGAGGUUAACUAAUUCCUAAAGAUAGCAAGCAACUUGGUUGUGAGUGUGCCUUUCAUAUGCAAUCCAGAGCCCAUACCCCCAACCACCUGUCUUUUGGGAUCUUAUAGUCUAGGCCACUAUCCACCUGCCCUAGUCACCCAGGAUCAGGUACUAGACAACUAGGGACAGCCCUAUGAUCCAGGACCUGCUGAAAUUAUUCAAACUAGCCAAUCCUAGGCCUGCUUACCCUGCCUCACCUGUUCCUUCCUAUGGAAACCACGAUAAAAGCUAUUGCCCACAUUUCUGUCUACUAGCCUCAUCAUACCUAAUUAUAAUAUAACAUGUAUGUUAACACAUGGGCUGGUGUUCACAUUGGCUUAUCUGGUAGUAGACACUGAAAGGGAGUUUGGGGUUCAAGAUUGUGAUAUUGUGAUUUAUAAUAAGAAAUAUAUGUUUGUUCUUUGUCCUCAUUUUCUGCACAGAACUCCUAAAACCACUGGAAUUUCCUAAGUGAUAAAGAUGUCUUUUGUGUGUUAAUGAGGUGACUUUCGGAAUGCCCCUAGGUCACCUAAGGGUGGGAACUGGUCAGCAGAGGAAUCAACCAUUUGAUUAGAGGAUUGGAACUUUUAGUCCCCC
This 1207-nucleotide long non-coding RNA is filed under the name Equus asinus (donkey). RNAcentral's name for it is "lncRNA (ENSEASG00005026794.1)". Lineage: Eukaryota; Metazoa; Chordata; Mammalia; Perissodactyla; Equidae. The record is from RNAcentral.